UCUCUUGUUUUAUUCUCUAUUUGAAAGAAAAAAAAAUUGUUUUGUUAUUUAGCGUACAACAACAAGAGCAUUUAUUUACAAUAGUGGUCAGGGCUCGUAGCAGUGACAGUGCACACUUCAGGUCUGUUUUGCUUAACAGCAUUUAAAAACAAAGCUUUGGUGGCAACACACAAAUACUCUAGCGGUCCUUUGGAUCAUAACUCUCUAAUUGAGUUACAAGGCCCAUUGUCUUUUCAAUAAACCGUUCAAAAAUCUCAAGACGACACACGAGCUGUGUUUUUUUUUCAAAAGAUAUUGUUUUUUGCUCAAACGAAGUCUUCAUGCGCUCAAUAUCAAAUUUCAGGCGAGCUAAUGUUUGAACCAUUAUCUUCUUCAUUGCCCAUGAUUAGUAACUUUAAUUUAAAAGCUUAUGACCUUUAAUUGGAAUAAAUGAUAAGCGAUAUCCAGCUAUCAACAAGAAAAUUUUAUUUCGAAUGUACACCUUAACCGCUCGACCUAUAUACAUACCCUUUUACCUAUGUAUGUGUACUAGGUAAGAUGUAAGUGCUCAGUUGAGAAGUCAAGCAAUUAAUGAAUUAUCUUCACGAAUUAACGGCCCACUCAAUGCACCAAGAUCAGUCGACAUCUUUGCUAAGCGACAGAAAAAAUAACUGUAAUCUCACAGCCGCUAACACCAAAGCGGAAUAAGCGAAUAGUACAAUUGCAAUGUAAGCGACUUUGAAAUUUGUGUACAAAAAUUGCAGCAACAACUCUAAAUUGUUGUACAAUAACGGCAAGACAAAUAAAUGUUGAUUGGCGAAAAAAUAACUGUACAUUUGAAGUUUCUAAAAAUUUCUAUGGCAAUCACACGAGCUUUCGGUUUGAAUCAAACGAAGCUUAAAUUUCUUCGUAUUGCGUGCACAAACUUUUGUAUUGAAAAAAUAUAAAAAAUUAACAAAUAAAGUCUUUUCCAGCAACAUUUGAAAAUAAAAUGAGAAAACCUGCUGUUAUGAGCCUAUUGAAUGGUCAAAAAGAAGACUUUCAUCACUCGCAAGGAUUGUCCAAUCGGAACAUUGCCAUAGAAAUAAAUUGAAGCUACACAAGUGUUGACAGAUAUUUGAAGGAUCCAGAGCACUACGGGGAACUUGACCUGCUUUUUUUUGGCAUAGCUUUUGCUAUUUAAAAAAAAAAUUUUUUUAGCAGAUUAAAAAUUGAUCAAAGACCACAAUGCCAUCAAAUUUAAAAUUUACACUCAUUCUUGAGGUGUGUACUAUGUGUUUCUACUAAUAUGUUGCUUAGCCAGUGAUGGAUGUUCUCGUUCCACUUUCAAAAUAAAAUUUCAACUUUGAAUAGAGUUUUACAAAAUUGUUGAAAUUUGUUCACUAAGUCCAUGUUAUAGAGUGAUUAAUUUCCUAUUUAGAACAUAUAGGUUUCAUACUUUUUGCGAAAAUUAAAUUUUGAGGUAGCAAUCUCUCAAUUAGCAAUGCGGCCCUCCUAGAAGCGUGGCGCACGCAUUUUUGGAGAUUUCGACGACAGACUUUUUGAAAUUAAACAAAGUUACCUGUCGUGUUUUAUGUCAAUUGUUGCAUUAAUGAAAAAUAAUAAUAAAUGAAAUAAUAAGCUGGAUAAUACCCGGCCUGGACGGAAUACAAGGCCCGUUGAACAUCAUAUGAGAUCUACCGCUGAAACGGCUUAUGACUUAUUUUUCGACGUUGAAAUAGAUACUGGGAAAUAUAUUGGGUAGAAAAAAAAAUCCUAAAGGUUAGUGGGGGCGAGGGGUAUGUGGGGGUGUUUUCGGAGGCGGUAAAGGUGUGUAUAAAACUAGACAAAAAAAUUAUCAUCGUAUCUUAAAUAGUUACCGAGAUAUUAAUUUAUGCCAAAUAAUCAGAUCAAAUUCCCCAUAGUGCAGAGGUAUAUGGAAAUAACUUCAAAGGGAAAAAAGGCACUAUCAAAACAAGCAGUACGCAAAAUUGUUAGAAUUACUUCGAAUUUGACUAGCUCAGCUGCUAAGAUCAAUGAAUUGGCCGGAGUAAUCGCAAGCCUUUCAACUAUUCAGCGUUCGACUAGAAAUGCAGAACACCUGAAGGAUCUAAAAAUCAAGAAAAAUACCCCUUUGAAUGCAAUACGCAAGGAAAAGCGGCUUUAAUGCGCAUCUCAACGUAAUUGGAUGUUUGGUGCGGGCUAACGCAAUACGAAGAUAAGGAAACAUUAGCUGCAGUUGUUAAACUUGUUUGCAGCGGGAUUUUCUUGAGCUACAUAGAUUACUUGUACCAGUCUAUGAAGGACCGGAUUUAUGAAGUUAUUACUAACAAAGAAGGCAGUACUCUUUACUGAAAUUGUUUUUUUCUUAUUUCAAAUACUUUUCUUAUAAAAUUUAAAAAGCAAAAGUGCGUAUAUUCUAAUGACCAAGAAUACUGCGCCUUAUUUUGAGUAGUUUUAAGAAAAUGUCUAAAAAACACAUUUUUGUUAAAUAUGUAUAAUAAUUUGAAUAUUAUACAUAAUAAAAGUAUCAUUAAAUAAGAAA
This is a long non-coding RNA of Drosophila yakuba, 2503 nucleotides long. RefSeq lists it as uncharacterized. The transcript has 2 exons. Lineage: Eukaryota; Metazoa; Arthropoda; Insecta; Diptera; Drosophilidae. The record is from RefSeq and is a predicted model, not a curated record.